GAAAGCUUUUGGGUGCUGCAUAAGUCACAUCUACUAUAUCAAAUGGACACAGCUCAAUUCCUAGACUGUAAGAUCCAAAAGGCUUGUAGGGGUAAUUUAGUUUGCUUUCUGCACACCUGCAGUCAGAAAUUUUCUCCAGAGAAGGACAGAAUUACAGGAAGAAGUGGAUUUGGAGCAGAGAGUGCUCGUGGCUGUAGAAGGAGGAAUGACGCUGCUUCCACUACAGUAUGUGAGAAAGAAGAUUCCUGUAGUGAAGAUCUAUCACUUAGGACAGUUUUUAACUGAGGGCUGUGCGAAAGCUUCCCUGGUACUUUAUCAGACUUGCAAAUGAAGAAAGCAAUCCAUUUCUCAAAGCACUUUUGGAUUUCUUCUAGCAAUUUGAAGACUUGCUUAUAAUGUUCUGAAAACUCCUUUGUAGUCCUUCUCCAGAUGCUCUUCUGAAUUAUUCCAGAUCAUUAUGCUGAAACCAUCUCUUGAAGAAUCCAUCUGAACAAAGCAUUAAGACUGUUGGUUACAUCUGCUUUGGGACUGCCCAAGAGGACUUCAUCCUGACUCCGCCUUGUUACUGUAGUUCAUAUGAUACUGCCUGUCCUAUUUCCAUGUGGUUCUGCAUCUAGAAUUCUUCCACUGUUUGUUUGUUUCUUGUUAAACAUCUUUUAGCAAGCUGAGGAAAAAAUCUUCAAAUAAAAAUGACAGACUAGUGCACUUUGGUAACAUAUAAUGUUUUGUAAAUUUAAACUAUUCCUAACAGUAGUUGUCCUUCUCUUAACAGUUGCCCUCUUGUGAAGCAAGAACAUUUCCAGGAUUUCGCUUGUGUCUAAGGCAGCAAAAGAAAGAAGAAAGUGUAAGAACAAUAUUUCAACAGGACUAAAAGAAUCCUAUAGAAAGCAUUUAAGGUCUACUGAACCUGCACUCUGAGUAAAUAUACAUGUUUUUUGCA
Molecule: long non-coding RNA, 940 nt
Organism: Chiroxiphia lanceolata (lance-tailed manakin)
Lineage: Eukaryota; Metazoa; Chordata; Aves; Passeriformes; Pipridae
Exons: 4
Source: RefSeq, a predicted model, not a curated record